GAUGAACGCUAGCGGGAGGCUUAACACAUGCAAGUCGAGGGGCAGCAUAGGGUAGCAAUACUCUGAUGGCGACCGGCAAACGGGUGAGUAACGCGUAUGUAACCUACCCUGUACAGGGGGAUAACCCGGAGAAAUUCGGACUAAUAUCCCAUAACAAUAUCCGGGGGCGAUCUUUGGAUAUUUAAAGUUCCGGCGGUACGGGAUGGGCAUGCGUAACAUUAGCUAGUUGGUAAGGUAACGGCUUACCAAGGCUUUGAUGUUUAGGGGUCCUGAGAGGGUGGUCCCCCACACUGGUACUGAGACACGGACCAGACUCCUACGGGAGGCAGCAGUGAGGAAUAUUGGUCAAUGGGCGCAAGCCUGAACCAGCCAUCCCGCGUGCAGGAAGACGGCGCUAUGCGUUGUAAACUGCUUUUCCAGGGAGAGAAACUUGCGCACGUGUUGCGCAAUUGACGGUACCCUGGGAAUAAGCAGUCGGACUAACUCCGUGCCAGCAGCCGACGGUAACUGUAGUCGU
Molecule: ribosomal RNA, 517 nt
Filed under: uncultured bacterium
Lineage: Bacteria
Description: bacterial SSU rRNA
Rfam family: Bacterial small subunit ribosomal RNA
Source: RNAcentral